This 1104-nucleotide ribosomal RNA is filed under the name Triticum aestivum (bread wheat). Its description in RNAcentral is "partial small subunit ribosomal RNA". The record is from RNAcentral. Lineage: Eukaryota; Viridiplantae; Streptophyta; Magnoliopsida; Poales; Poaceae.
UACAGAUCGGGACUAGGGCGAUGUUUCCACGACUUAGAUUUAAGAGUAGGGAAGGACCAGGGUGAGAGGAAAGAGCAACGAGGCCAAAUCUGAGAUGGGGUCAUCGGCGUGUUCAAGAAGCAGCGGGUAUAGUGACCCGUCGUGGUGGGGUGGACCUGUAGGGGAGAGGGAGGAGGCCAGCAAGAGUGUUUGCAGGAUGAAAAACUGCUAAUAUGGUACUCCAAAGAGAGGGGGGAAAGUCUGAGCUUGAGUUCUAUGUCGAGUGUGGUUCUCAGACAGAAAACGGAAUGUGGUUUUCUUCCCCAAACGCUUAUUGUUAUGAUUUAAGUAUACGAAGACAUACAUAUUCUUAGAAUAUCUGUAUUUGCAGGCAAACCUUUUGCACUUGCAUUGGCCAGAAAAGGAACAUCACUCCUCAUCAGUCAUAUACACGAAUGGUGAAUGCUCACCGGACUUGAUCUGCAAAGACAAGGACCAAGCUGACUGUUGGUAUCUAGGUCUAACAACCUUGGUAUCUGCUCUAUAUAGUCCUCUUCUUUUGGUUGAUUCAACAAGCAACCGUCGAAUAAACAGUUGAGCAAAUAGCCCUCCUGGCUAUUCAGCAAAGGAAUAGGCUAUUUUCAGUGCAUGACACAAGAAAGUUCACCCAGAAAAUAGCAAAGGAAGUAGCUUGUCGUUUGAAUAUCCCAAGCACGGACUGGUGGGAACUACAGUUUGGCAAGCAGCGCUUCUGAGUAUGACGAACAAUCACAUAACGUCUUCAUCUUGUUCAAGCAUGGAUGCAAGACAUUUCUCUUGAAAACAGGACUUGAAGUUGGUACAAAUGUCCUACUUACAUUCAAGAUGAACGUUGGCAAUGAGUUGUAUAUGAUAGUUUCCGUCCAUGACAUCUGAGAGGUUCAUAGGUCCUAAUUGAGGUUAUCUUUAGUUCAUUAGUUUUUAUCUCUGCUAUGUUAGCUCUUUUGUGAGGGUCCAAUUUGUAGACCGGCUUAGAAGAAACACGCUUCAACUAUUUUUAAAGCACUUAGAUCAAAAGAUUUUCUUAUGUUAGGAGGUGAUCCAGGUUUAUUGGAGAAGUACAUGCUAACCACCAAUUUGUUUUCU